This 508-nucleotide ribosomal RNA is filed under the name uncultured bacterium. Its description in RNAcentral is "partial 16S ribosomal RNA". It matches the Rfam family "Bacterial small subunit ribosomal RNA", at positions 28 to 523 of the family's 1533-position model. The record is from RNAcentral.
GAUGAACGCUAGCUACAGGCUUAACACAUGCAAGUCGAGGGGAAACGAUAGAGAAAGCUUGCUUUUUCUAGGCGUCGACCGGCGCACGGGUGAGUAACGCGUAUCCAACCUGCCCAUCACUUGGGGAUAACCUUGCGAAAGUAAGACUAAUACCCAAUGAUAUCUCUAGAAGACAUCUGAAGGAGAUUAAAGAUUUAUAGGUGAUGGAUGGGGAUGCGUCUGAUUAGCUUGUCGGCGGGGUAACGGCCCACCAAGGCGACGAUCAGUAGGGGUUCUGAGAGGAAGGUCCCCCACAUUGGAACUGAGACACGGUCCAAACUCCUACGGGAGGCAGCAGUGAGGAAUAUUGGUCAAUGGGCGAGAGCCUGAACCAGCCAAGUAGCGUGCAGGAUGACGGCCCUAUGGGUUGUAAACUGCUUUUAUAAGGGAAUAAAGUGAGUCUCGUGAGGCUUUUUGCAUGUACCUUAUGAAUAAGGACCGGCUAAUUCCGUGCCAGCCGCCGCGGUAA